AUUGAACGCUGGCGGCAGGCCUAACACAUGCAAGUCGAGCGAGCGGCGGACGGGUGAGUACUGUAUGGGGACUGCCCGAUAGAGGGGGAUAACUACUGGAAACGGUAGCUAAUACCGCAUACUAUCGGAUACCCCCUAUGGGAUUAGCUAGUAGGUGAGGUAAUGGCUCACCUAGGCGACGAUCCCUAGCUGGUCUGCGAGGAUGAUCAGCCAAAGUGGGAAGGAGACACGGCCCGGACUCCGACGGAGGCAGCAGUGGGGAAUAUGGCACAAUGGGCGAAAGCCUGAUGCAGCCAUGCCGCGUGUAUGAAGAAGGCCCUAGGGUUGUAAAGUACUUUCAGUCGGGAGGCGUUACCGACAGAAGAAGCACCGGCUAACUCCGUGCCAGCCGCCGCGGUAAUAC
RNAcentral lists this ribosomal RNA (403 nucleotides) under uncultured bacterium. Its description in RNAcentral is "partial 16S ribosomal RNA". It matches the Rfam family "Bacterial small subunit ribosomal RNA", at positions 30 to 526 of the family's 1533-position model. The record is from RNAcentral.